CUUUUAUGGAGAGUUUGAUCCUGGCUCAGGACGAACGCUGGCGGCGUGCCUAAUACAUGCAAGUCGAGCGCGGGAAGCGAGUGGAUCCCUUCGGGGUGAAGCUCGUGGAACGAGCGGCGGACGGGUGAGUAACACGUGGGCAACCUGCCUGUAAGACCGGAAUAACCCCGGGAAACCGGGGCUAAUGCUGGGUAAUACUUUUC
RNAcentral lists this ribosomal RNA (203 nucleotides) under Halobacillus karajensis. RNAcentral's name for it is "16S rRNA. Bacterial SSU". It matches the Rfam family "Bacterial small subunit ribosomal RNA", at positions 1 to 184 of the family's 1533-position model. Lineage: Bacteria; Bacillati; Bacillota; Bacilli; Caryophanales; Bacillaceae. The record is from RNAcentral.